GCGUAUCAUUCAGUUUCCUGGAAUACCCAGUCUGACUGGAAGAAAAUGGAGACUCUUUUAGAUUUGUUGGGGGAAUAGGCAUGAUAUGCUUGGGUAUAUUUUUUUGUAUGGAGUUGUGGGGGAUUGCGAGAGCAGAAGUGGGUCUCCUGUAGGCAAACUACUGCUGCUUGGGAUUUGUGCAUGUCUUGUAUUGCUAGGUGGGCUGUUGAGUCCUUUAGUGUUUAGGGAGUAAAUUUUAAAUGUUGGUGAAGACAUUGUUUUGAAAUAAUUUGGAUAGCUUGUUCCCUUGCUACAGUAAGUAGGGUGUGAGUGUAAU
This is a non-coding RNA of Pelobates cultripes (western spadefoot toad), 316 nucleotides long. Lineage: Eukaryota; Metazoa; Chordata; Amphibia; Anura; Pelobatidae. The record is from the annotation of a GenBank genome assembly.